GGGGAAUCUUGGACAAUGGGCGCAAGCCUGAUCCAGCCAUGCCGCGUGAGUGACGAAGGCCUUAGGGUUGUAAAGCUCUUUUGCCGGGGACGAUAAUGACGGUACCCGGAGAAUAAGUCCCGGCUAACUUCGUGCCAGCAGCCGCGGUAAUACGAAGGGGACUAGCGUUGUUCGGAAUUACUGGGCGUAAAGCGCACGUAGGCGGAUUAUUAAGUCAGGGGUGAAAUCCCGGGGCUCAACCUCGGAACUGCCUUUGAUACUGGUAAUCUAGAGUCCGAUAGAGGUGGGUGGAAUUCCUAGUGUAGAGGUGAAAUUCGUAGAUAUUAGGAAGAACACCAGUGGCGAAGGCGGCCCACUGGAUCGGUACUGACGCUGAGGUGCGAAAGCGUGGGGAGCAAAC
RNAcentral lists this ribosomal RNA (400 nucleotides) under uncultured bacterium. RNAcentral's name for it is "bacterial SSU rRNA". It matches the Rfam family "Bacterial small subunit ribosomal RNA", at positions 356 to 773 of the family's 1533-position model. The record is from RNAcentral.